This 83-nucleotide small RNA is filed under the name Arenibacter nanhaiticus. Its description in RNAcentral is "Arenibacter sp. NH36A Flavo-1 RNA". It matches the Rfam family "Flavo-1 RNA". The record is from Rfam by way of RNAcentral. Lineage: Bacteria; Pseudomonadati; Bacteroidota; Flavobacteriia; Flavobacteriales; Flavobacteriaceae.
UUAUCGCGUUAGGGAUUGCAGCGGCAUCCUUUUUUGGACGGCCUAGGCGUUUAAAAAAGAUAUAGCGGAAAGCGCGACCCGAU